Molecule: ribosomal RNA, 509 nt
Filed under: uncultured Glomus
Lineage: Eukaryota; Fungi; Glomeromycota; Glomeromycetes; Glomerales; Glomeraceae
Description: SSU rRNA
Rfam family: Eukaryotic small subunit ribosomal RNA
Source: RNAcentral
AGCAGCCGCGGUAAUUCCAGCUCCAAUAGCGUAUAUUAAAGUUGUUGCAGUUAAAAAGCUCGUAGUUGAAUUUCGGGAUCAAUAUAUUGGUCAUGCUUAGGUAUGUACUGGUAUUAUUGAUUUCUCCCUUCUGAAGAACCAUAAUGUCAUUAAUUUGAUGUCAUGGGGAAUCAGGACUGUUACUUUGAAAAAAUUAGAGUGUUUAAAGCAGGCUUUCGCUUGAAUACAUUAGCAUGGAAUAAUGAAAUAGGACGUUUGAUUCUAUUUUGUUGGUUUCUAGGAUCGACGUAAUGAUUAAUAGGGAUAGUUGGGGGCAUUAGUAUUCAAUUGUCAGAGGUGAAAUUCUUGGAUUUAUUGAAGACUAACUACUGCGAAAGCAUUUGCCAAGGAUGUUUUCAUUAAUCAAGAACGAAAGUUAGGGGAUCGAAGACGAUCAGAUACCGUCGUAGUCUUAACCAUAAACUAUGCCGACUAGGGAUCGGAUGAUGUUAAUUUUUAAUGACUCAUUC